Molecule: ribosomal RNA, 253 nt
Filed under: uncultured bacterium
Lineage: Bacteria
Description: partial 16S ribosomal RNA
Rfam family: Bacterial small subunit ribosomal RNA
Source: RNAcentral
UACGAAGGGGGCUAGCGUUGCUCGGAAUCACUGGGCGUAAAGGGUGCGUAGGCGGGUCUUUAAGUCAGGGGGGAAAUCCUGGAGCUCAACUCCAGAACUGCCUUUGAUACUGAGGAUCUUGAGUACGGGAGAGGUGAGUGGAACUGCGAGUGUGGAGGUGAAAUUCGUAGAUAUUCGCAAGAACACCAGUGGCGAAGGCGGCUCACUGGCCCGUAACUGACGCUGAGGCACGAAAGCGUGGGGAGCAAACAGG